AUGCUAUGCUAAGAUAACAGGGCGCUGCUGCUGCUGCGGGUGACUGUGAGAGAAGAGCAGGCACAACAGUCGUCUUAAAGAUGUUUGUGGGACAGGACAAAGACGAAGGACAGGAGUGUUAAUACCCGCUCUGCAGCUCCUGAUUCGCUGAUGUUAGAUUUACAGAUUGGUGGAGGAGUUAGGAGUUUUUGCGCUGUGGGAUGAGGUAGUAGGUUGUGUAGUUUUAGGGUCACACCCACACUGGGAGAUAACUAUACAGCCUACUGUCUUUCUCAGAGUGACGAGAGAGAUCAUCGCUAUCUGUUCCCUUCAGAAGAGGAGAAACCAUCAAAAUCUUCAUAAUAUGGACAUUAAGGCAGUGUACUGUUAUUCUGCGAUACUCAGUAUAUCACAUGAUAAUUACCUGUGAAUCACAGGAAUGGGCCGUGUGUUGGUGAUCUGUGUACGAGCCUCAACUGUGCACUGUGCAGCAUGAUUUUAAGGCAUGUCAGUGUGUCUUUGCUAUCGUAACGAUGGGAAAAGUACACAUACUAGUCAUGUACUAAUUAUCUUAAUGAGGAGAAUUAAAUAAACCAAUCAGUGUGUCACUUGCCAUUUAUUUUAAGAGCCAGGUGAGCUCUGACUUUGGCACUCUGCUAUUUGGCUGAAUGAUGUAUAUUGAAAUUUAAACAUUCCUGUCACAAUAUAAACUAAUAUCAAAUGAUUGCCCAGCCCUAAUGGCUGCAUAAACUGUAUAGUAACAAUUACCUGACUGGAUGGGAAUCCACAACACUUAGUCAUUGUAUAUUAUUAUCGUAUAUUAUGAAAUAAUAAGAAGGAUAAUAUUUUGUUGUACAGUUGUUAAAGAUCACGAUGCUUUCACAGUGUGAGGUAGUAGAUUGUAUAGUUGUGGGGUAGUGAUUUUAUCCUGUUUAGAAGAUAACUAUACAAUCUAUUGCCUUCCCUGAGGGGGUGAGACUCACUUACAUAUAAUAAUUUACUUUUUAUAUUCAUAAAUUAUUACUUUUCUUUAUGGUUUUGCACUGGGUUUUUAUGUAAGUACAGAAAUUAUACCAUGAUUGUUCUUGGAAACAAUGAACUUUAUUUGUUAUGUGAAUAAUUUAAUAAAUCUGCAUAAUAAA
Astyanax mexicanus (Mexican tetra) is the source of this 1121-nucleotide long non-coding RNA. RefSeq lists it as uncharacterized. The transcript is spliced from 2 exons. The record is from RefSeq and is a predicted model, not a curated record. Lineage: Eukaryota; Metazoa; Chordata; Actinopteri; Characiformes; Acestrorhamphidae.